This 2287-nucleotide long non-coding RNA is filed under the name Anthonomus grandis grandis. Its description in RNAcentral is "uncharacterized LOC126745725". The record is from RNAcentral. Lineage: Eukaryota; Metazoa; Arthropoda; Insecta; Coleoptera; Curculionidae.
CAUCGUCGAAAUAAUCGGCGGGACUGUUGAUGUGGUUUGCUAACCUCACUUUCAAUUUUCAGCUUUGAGCUUUGAGUUUUUGAAACGUUUUGUUGUUUAUUUACAAUUUGUGCGACCAAAAGUAAUUAUUAUUACUUACAUUAUCUUGUUUCCUUGUAAAUUGAAAACACCACUGUAUAUUUACAUUAAUUUACUACACCUUUAUUCGGUGAACAUGAAUAUAAACAGGGAUAAUAAAUUAAUAUGUGAAGAUUGUGGAAAGUCAUUUUCUUCUACUUCAACAUUGUAUCGGCAAAUGAGGGAUAUACAUAGUAAAAAACAGAGUGAAAAAGAGAGCCAACACAUUAUUUGCCCCCUUUGCCUAGAGAAAGAGAAGUUUACAUCCUAUGAUUCUUUAAUAAGACACUUUCAUAGUAUUCAUAAUAUAGAUAUUAAAAAAUCUGUUUUAAAUUUUAGGAAUUUGGCAGAGUUUAAAAUUUGGAGGUCUGCAGAAAACAGAGAGGUAGAUUAUGCUGUUCAUCGAAGAAAGAAAUGUGCUAAUGGGGAAGAAUUUAUUUACUAUAAUUGUAAUAGAAGUGAUUCAAAAGGAUAUGUCAGUACAUGUUUGCAACGGAAUUUAAAGUCUAAAGGAAGCAUUCGUAUGCAAGGAAUUUGUCCAUCAAGAAUAAUAGUUAAAAUUCUAGUAGAUGGAGUGAUUAGAGUAAGAUUUUUUGAAACCCACGUAGGACACGCUGACGAAGAAGCAAAAGGCUAACAAAAUCGGAACAGGAGAUAAUUGUGGAUAAAUUAGCAGCAGGAGUUUCAAAUAAGAGAAUUAUUCAGGAGGCCAGAAGCAUAGAUGGCAAUACAAAGGAAAAAUUGUAUAACAUGUGGAGAUUUAGAGUACCUAAUACGAAAAUUUAAUAUUGACAAGAAAAGGGACAGUGAUGAUAUGAUAACCACAGUGUUAAAAAUUCAGGAAUGGAACAGUGAUGGAAAAAAUCAAGGAUUUUUAUUUAAACACAUAGGAGAAACUUAUCCAGGAUUAGAAGAAGAUGAUUUUGCAGUUGGAUAUAUGAAUGCUAUUAUGAAAAAAAAAUUAAGAGAUUUUCGAAAAAUAAUCUGUAUAGAUGGAACUCAUAUAACAAAUAGGAGAAACUGGGACUUGACAAUUGUGUUAAUAAGAGAUGAACAAAAUAUGGGUUUUCCAGUGGGCACUUAAAACUAGAUUAGGGGAAGCAGUUCAAGCUGAAUAUAUAAUGAGUGAUGACGAUCCAAAAUAUUACAAUGCAUGGAUAAUGGCUAUGGAUGCAGAACAAAAACCAAGAAGAUUACUUUGUACCUGGCAUAUAGUGAAAAAUUGGAACAUACAAGGAAAGUCUAAAAUCAAGAAGUUGGAAAACAGACAGAUAAUGAAACCUGAAAUGAGGAAAAUUUUAAAGGAGACUGACCCACAAAAAUUUAUAAAACUGAAAGAGAACUAUUUUAAGCAAUUAGAAGAAGAGGAGGAAACUAAUUUUCAGAAUUACCUGAAAAAGUACUAUUUCCAAAGUUCAGAGAGAAUAAUGAUGUGGGCACAUUGUUAUAGAAUCAAUGCCGGAAUUAAUACAAAUAUGGCAAUUGAAAGCUUAAAUAAAGUUCUGAAGUACAACAAAAUGAAUGGAAAGCAGAAUAUUAGGAUUGAAAAACUGUUGGAUUUACUGGAUGAACUUGUUGAUGAAAGAAUGUGAAAAAGAAUUAUAAACAUGGAAAGGACAAAUGCAAAUAAUUAUCAGCACAAAAUAUGUCAGAGUGCACAUAAAAAAGCAGAAGAAAUGGUUUCAUGUAUGAAUUGCAAGAAGAUAAUAAUCUGUAUGUCAAUGAACCUUCAACAGGCAAGACAGUUUAUGAGGAUGAAGUAAAUAAUUUUCUUGACGAGACUGAAAAUAGAAUGAAUGUGACAUUUAUUGAUUUUGAAAGAAAGCGUGAGAUUUGUCUAGAACAAUUUUGCUCUGAAAUUCGUAAUUAUGGUGGUGAGUUGGGUGAACAUGACUUAGAAAAAUUUAUGGGUGAUUUUAGAAAUUUUAUGUAGACAGUAAAACAAAAAGAAAUGGUGAUGAGUAAAAAAGAAAAAUAGAAAAGAACUAUUUUAUUACUGAAUGACAUUGCUUUUGUGAGUGACCUAUUCUGGUAUUAUAUCUAAGUGGUGUUGGCUAUUUCUAUUCAUGUAAUUCGUUGGCUUAUGGUGAAGGAUAAUUAUAAAAUAUAUUUUUUUAAUUUUGAUUUUAUCUUUAUUACAAUUAAAUAAUAUAUUAGUGUUUGUUUCAUA